GACGAACGCUGGCGGCAUGCUUAACACAUGCAAGUCGAACGGAAAGGCCCUGCCUUUGUGGGCUGCUCGAGUGGCGAACUGGUGAGUAACACGUGAGUAACCUGUCAUUGACUGAGGGAUAACCUCAGGAAACUGGGGCUCAUACCGGAUAGGAUCUACCGCUGUAUGGUGGGGGUGAGAAAGUUUCGGCGGUUGGGGAUGGACUAGCGGCUUAUCAGCUUGUUGGUGGGGUAGUGGCGUACCAAGGCUUUGACGGGUCGCAGGCCUGGGAGGGGAGCCGGACCCAUUGGAACUGAGAUACGGCACAGACUCGACUGGGAGGCAGCGGAGGAGAAUAUUGCACAAUAGGCGGGAGCAUAGUGCAACAACGCCGCGUGCGGGAAGUCAGCCAUCGCGUUGUAAACCGCUUUCGCCUUUGACGAGGCGUGAGUGACAGUAAUGGGAGAAAAAGCACCGGCUAACUACGUG
Molecule: ribosomal RNA, 468 nt
Filed under: uncultured bacterium
Lineage: Bacteria
Description: partial 16S ribosomal RNA
Rfam family: Bacterial small subunit ribosomal RNA
Source: RNAcentral